AUAUUUCAGCAGACGACAUUCUUGUUGAUGAGGUGAAAAGUCCCAGACAUGGUGUAAUUUAUGAUGAAAUAGAUGAAGAAGUUGGGGAGGAAAACAGAAUCCCGUCAUUAAAACAUCCUAAGAAUGAAGUUUUUGGUUCUCCGGUGCACCAAACAGGAAAUGAGAAGGAGAUUGAAGGAUUUACAAAGCAAGGUGCAGAAAAACUAGACAUAAAUAAGAAGCCAAUAUCAAUGAGAACUAGGAAGAACUAUCACUGGUGAACCAAGAAUGGGUAGAUGUUAAAGAAAAGGAGAUCAAAAGGAUUCGUAAAGCAAGGUACAGAAAACCUAUACAUAAAUAAGAAGCCAAUAUCGAU
RNAcentral lists this long non-coding RNA (355 nucleotides) under Solanum lycopersicum (tomato). Its description in RNAcentral is "long non-coding RNA (SLYC_LNC000134)". Lineage: Eukaryota; Viridiplantae; Streptophyta; Magnoliopsida; Solanales; Solanaceae. The record is from RNAcentral.